RNAcentral lists this long non-coding RNA (1799 nucleotides) under Canis lupus dingo (dingo). RNAcentral's name for it is "lncRNA (ENSCAFG00020019838.1)". The record is from RNAcentral. Lineage: Eukaryota; Metazoa; Chordata; Mammalia; Carnivora; Canidae.
CGCAGCCCGGCCGCCCGUGUGCCCCAGCAAAGCCCGCGGAGCACCCAGGACCCCCGCGCCCCUGCAGAGGCCGGGCUCACGUACUUGGCCUGUUUCCCAGCCGGGCCUCUGCUCUAGCACAGCUCUUGCCCUGUGUCCCCAGGGCCGACGGUCAAAGUAGGCAGGUGUGCCCUCAACACAGACACGCACAGCGCCCACAGGGGGUGACGCUCAAGCCCCGAGUGAGGCCCGCACCCAUGGGAUGACUGUGCCGAGCGCCCACCAUGGCACGUAGGGCGCCGCUGCAGCCACCCCGGCGGGGGCCCUGCACCACCCCGCGGCCCCCUGAGGCCUGUGUGGGGCUGGCGGCCGGGAGCUGCACGCUUGGAGGUGGUGUCGCUGUCCUGUCGCCUGAGGUGCCGCAUGUUCAGCCUCAGUUUGCCCCAAACAUUAACCAAAUCCCACGUCUCCAAGGGAGAGACUGGGUUUCAAUGUUUCCACCUUCCCACCAAGAACAAAAGCCAGAGGAACCCCAAAUGGAGGCUAUGCCCCACGGGGCGGGCCGGGCCCGGGUGCAUUUCACUUUGUCUUCAGUGUGGCCCGGGAUUCCGCGGAAGAAGUGAUGUGUUUGAUUCCGACGCCAGCAGCAGCCAAGCUCCUUACAGGAGGAGGAGGAGGGACCUGUCACCAGGGACCGGCCUGUGGGUUGGGAGCCGCUGGGGAGAAGAAUGCGCCUGCCUGCUCCCCUGCCCCAGCCGCUGAGCAGAGGCUGCGGGGCCUGCAGCCUGGGAGGAAGGCGGCAGCGCCUUGGUUGCUCCAAGGCCGGGCCGGGGCGCCCCUGACGACCCAGGAGGGGAGGCCCGGGGUGAGGGGUGCGACGCCUGGCGAGGAGCCCUCACGUGGGGGGCCUCCCUCACCCGCUGGUCCAGCCGCAGAGAGCUGGGCCACAGAGACCCAGGACCUGGGCAGCAGCCUGUAUGGGUGGGUCUCGUGUCCCUCCCUGUCCCCCAUGUUCCCUCCUGUGUCCCCCGUCCCCCCAUAUCUCCCCGUAUCCCCUGUCCCCUGUCCCUCCCUGUGCCCCCACCCCCAUCAGCAGGUCGGAACCACUUCCCAGCAUGGUCCUGCGGCCUCCACCGGGCCUCCUGCAUCCUGCACAGGUGCCCCUCGCGCCCGGGCCUGGGCCGCUGAGCCCGCUGAGCCCGCUGAGCCCGCUGAGCCCCGUGGAGGUCCCAACCCCGACAGCGCUCCCGAGCACCUGCGGACGGCGGGCCGUGCUGCAGGGCUUGGUGCACUGGCCUCAUCCUUGCACGGUGCAAGCGGCAUCCUCACAGCUCCUCUCCCUCAAGGCUGGGCCGCAGCAGUGCCACGGGGCAGGGGUCAACCCGGGUCACGGCAGCGGAGAACGGCGUCUGCCCAGGAAGGAGCGGCCGAGGGUGCGGGUUGGCCUCCAGGUCAGCCUCUGGGUCGGUUUCUGGGCAGGCGGCAGGUGCACGCGGCCACCCACCUGCUCUCCCCCCACGCACUGCACCCGCCCACCCGCGGCUUGGUCCUCGUGGCCUCCUUGGGCGAGGACGGUGACCAUGAACCUUCUGGGGUCACCCGGGCACGGCAGGCUGCAGGUGCGGCUGCCCGGGGCUCUCUGCGCCUCGACUUGGCGGCCUUGGCGUCUGUGCCCUGGGGUCCCCUCCCGCGCCCACAGCGACGCCUCGUUCAGAUGCCCGUCGCCCCAUCGGGGCCCCGGGAAGGCUGCUCCCCGCCUGCAGGUGUGGGGCUGUGUGGGCCCAGGGCUCCCCAUCUGCAGGGGUGGAGCUGUGGGGGGG